GAGGGGCUAAGCAGGUGUGGCAGGUGAUAAAUGUGACAUUGUGUGUCUACCUGGGAAAAAGGCAAGCGAGAGCAGCUGCUGCAUGACUGACAGCAGAAUCAAACUGCUGGAGCAAAUACCGCCUGCCUGACCAUCUCGCCGGGAAAUCAAUGUAACAUUGGAGCAAAUCAGAGCCACAUAUAAGAAAUGGCCUCUGUAUGUUCCUCCUCUGUGAGGCAGACGACGUGGUCCGUGUCAUGCUGUUUUCUCCUCGCUGUGGUAUCGCAGGGACACAGGCAGCCAGCCACUGUGGAGGAGCGAGCCCGGGAAUGACAAACACACACUUGAUCUCAUGAACCUGCAUUACAAAUAACAUUCAGAAGAACAGACAUGGUCAGAGCCAUGAGAGAUGGAGAGGAGGACGCAUUCAGACAGCUGACGAAAAUAAAACAGAGACAAGGAGCAACA
This is a long non-coding RNA of Notolabrus celidotus (New Zealand spotty), 447 nucleotides long. RefSeq lists it as uncharacterized. The record is from RefSeq and is a predicted model, not a curated record. Lineage: Eukaryota; Metazoa; Chordata; Actinopteri; Labriformes; Labridae. The transcript has 2 exons.